AUGCCCCCACGAUGUCACUUCUAGUUUGACCACCCGUAUCGUGUAAAUUAGUGAAGCGACAACGAGCUGUCAAUAUAGAUUACCUCGCUUGACGUCUUCUCAAUCAACGACAACACAACAGGUUUGCGCCUGAGUGAGCGCGC
Molecule: non-coding RNA, 143 nt
Organism: Caenorhabditis elegans
Lineage: Eukaryota; Metazoa; Nematoda; Chromadorea; Rhabditida; Rhabditidae
Source: Ensembl